UAUGAAUUGUAAAAUUAGUGAUCUUAGUAUUAAUAGUUUAGAUCUUUAAAUUAAAAGAAUUUGGCGGUAAUUUAGUCUUUUCAGAGGAACCUGCCCUGUAAUUGAUAGUCCACGAUAAAUUUUACUUUAUCUUUGUUUGUAUACCUCUGUCAUUGAAUGUUUUAUUAGGAUGGAUUUUCUUUAACUUUUAUGAAUUUAAUGUCAGGUCAAGGUGCAGCUGUGAUAAAGAAGAGGUGGGUUACAUUGAAUUUAUUUAUGGAGAUAAAUAUGUAAAUUUUAUUGAAAUAGGAUUUGAAAGUAAGUUUUAUUAGAAUAUAAAAUUGAUUUUAGCUCUAAAUUAUGC
This 343-nucleotide ribosomal RNA is filed under the name Rhodnius prolixus. RNAcentral describes it as "partial 12S ribosomal RNA". The record is from RNAcentral. Lineage: Eukaryota; Metazoa; Arthropoda; Insecta; Hemiptera; Reduviidae.